AAAACCUAAUCCUUCCUACCUCUAUCUUUCUCUCUCGCUACCUAUCUAGCAACGGAUCUUCCACGCCCCAUUCCUGGGUUUCCAUUCUUCUUUCCCUUCGUGGCAAACAACACUCGCUAUCAUUAUAUUAUAUAUUUUCUCUCUCUAAGAGCAUGAGAGGGGCUUCAACUUGCCAUUUAUUUCACAUGAACCCGGGAGCCAAGAUCUCCGGAC
Molecule: long non-coding RNA, 213 nt
Filed under: Spirodela polyrhiza (greater duckweed)
Lineage: Eukaryota; Viridiplantae; Streptophyta; Magnoliopsida; Alismatales; Araceae
Description: long non-coding RNA (SPOL_LNC002262)
Source: RNAcentral